UACGAAGGGGGGCUAGCGUUGCUCGGAAUCACUGGGCGUAAAGGGUGCGUAGGCGGGUUUUUAAGUCAGGGGUGAAAUCCUGGAGCUCAACUCCAGAACUGCCUUUGAUACUGAAAAUCUUGAGUCCGGGAGAGGUGAGUGGAACUGCGAGUGUAGAGGUGAAAUUCGUAGAUAUUCGCAAGAACACCAGUGGCGAAGGCGGCUCACUGGCCCGGUACUGACGCUGAGGCACGAAAGCGUGGGGAGCAAACAGG
This 254-nucleotide ribosomal RNA is filed under the name uncultured bacterium. RNAcentral describes it as "partial 16S ribosomal RNA". It matches the Rfam family "Bacterial small subunit ribosomal RNA", at positions 524 to 776 of the family's 1533-position model. The record is from RNAcentral.